This 294-nucleotide unclassified non-coding RNA is filed under the name uncultured fungus. Its description in RNAcentral is "sequence contains ITS1". The stretch from base 1 to 105 matches the Rfam family "5.8S ribosomal RNA", at positions 50 to 154 of the family's 154-position model. The record is from RNAcentral. Lineage: Eukaryota; Fungi.
GAAAUGCGAUAAGUAAUGUGAAUUGCAGAAUUCAGUGAAUCAUCGAAUCUUUGAACGCACAUUGCGCCCCUUGGUAUUCCGAGGGGCACGCCUGUUCGAGCGUCAUUUCAACCCUCAAGCACAGCUUGGCUUUGGGAGAGGUCCCCGGGACCCUCCCGCAACCCGUUGGCGGCACCGUCCGGCUUCUGAGCGUAGCAGAAAUCCUCGCUCUGGGAGUCCGCGGCGGGCGCCUGUCGCAACCAAAAACACCUAGAGUUUGACCUCGGAUCAGGCGGGGAUACCCGCUGAACUUAA